Molecule: RNA transcript, 4727 nt
Organism: Nicotiana attenuata
Lineage: Eukaryota; Viridiplantae; Streptophyta; Magnoliopsida; Solanales; Solanaceae
Gene name: succinate dehydrogenase subunit 5, mitochondrial-like
Exons: 8
Source: RefSeq, a predicted model, not a curated record
GGACUGGGAAAUUUUCAAUCUGGUCAUCAAGCGACACUUACAAAAAUCUCAAAGCAGGGAAAACAAAAGGAAACCAAAGAAGAAAGAUAGCGGAAAAAAAAGAUGCAGAAACUGAUAUUGAUACAAUCGUUAUAUCGUUCCAUAUGUCGUAGAUCUUCAGCUUUCUCGAUUUCCGCCGCCGCAACUACCGCCGUCAACCACCACUCCCAUCGACACCUUCAUUUCUCAUCCCCUAAUUUUCCAGCUUCUCCUAAAAGCCCUUUUCACGAAUUGCGGCAUCCUUUGACAAUAGCAAUCGGAAGCACACGUUCUUUCUGUGAGGAUUCAGCCCACAUGCCUGACAUAAAAGAUCCAGAGGUCAAACGUGCUUUUAAGGACUUAAUGGCUUCAAGCUGGGAUGAGCUCCCAAAUGCAGUUGUUGGUGAUGCAGAGCAUGCAUUGACUAAAAAUACUGAUGACAAGGAAGGCCAAGAAGCCCUGAUUAAUGUUUUCCGUGCAGCAGAAGCAGUGGAGGACUUUACUGGGAUUCUCACGUCUCUGAAAAUGGAGCUUGAUGAUGCAAUUGGCUUAAGUGGUGAGAAUGUGAAGCCUAUGUCAAAAGAGCUCUCUGAUGCAUUUCACACGGUAUACCAACGUUACAUCACCUACUUGAGUGCUUUUGGGUCAGAGGAGGGGUACUUGAAGAAGAAAGUUGAGAUGGAACUGGGAACAAAGAUGAUACACUUGAAGAUGAGAUGCAGUGGCCUUGAUUCUCAAUGGGGAAAGGUUACAGUUCUUGGGACUUCGGGACUUGCUGGUUCCUAUGUUGAGCAGAGAGCAUAGACCUUCACAGAUGGCUGAAAGUUGGGAGUGUUUCGUCUUUAAGUUACUUGUGUAACAUUUUCCUGGAAAGAGAAAAAGAAAUUUUUUGAUAAUACAGGCUGCAUCAAUUUGAUCCAUUAAACUGCAUUGUUCUUUCGUAAGUUAUGAUGAUGUGAUAGCAGGAAUACGCAGAUGAUACUAUUAUUCAAGGAGAUAGUUUCCGGAGCAUUCAGUAUUCAGAAGAUAGGGUUUUAUGUCAAUCGAUUCCUGUUGACUGGUGAAUCAGGUAUUAUUGCAGGUCAAUUGAUUGGAAAAUUGGGUACUCAAUUAACAUUAUGAACUUUUCAUAUCAGAGGAGUAUUUCGGGGGGUGCUGCAGAAUAUGUGCAAGCCCCGUCUAACGAAAAAAUAAAAUUCAAUGAGGAUUUUGGUUCAUUUGAAAGGAAUAUCCACUUUGAGUUUUAAAGAGAAGGCUCGAAAACAUAUUUAUUCUGAUUCAGACGGAGAAAUGCAUUGGAGUACUAGUGAUAUGUACCCGAAUUAAAUGAAUAUUACUAGAAGGGUUGUGCGGGUCCAGUCUAGUCUACCUUUUGAUUCACAAGGAUCAUGAUCCAAUUAAUGCGCAUUCUCUUUCUGGCAAGCAAAGAUAUACUUCUAACUUCUCAGUAACCAAUGAUCAGGUCCGUAUAAUCUCAUAUAUUCACCUAUUCUCCACGAGAAUUCUAAUUUAUUGUCAAAAAGGCAAAAAAAGAAAUUCGUCAUUCCACUACACUCGAUUCAAGAACUCAAGAAUGAACUAAUGCCUUGUUCAGGUAUCUCGAUUGAAAUCCCCAUAAAUAGUAUUUUUCGUCGAAAUAGCAUUCUUGCUUUAUUUCAAUGAUCUUCAAUACCGAAGAAACAGUUGAGGCAUUAUUAGAUAUGAGACUAUAAAAAUGCAUUCAGUCAUAAAAAAGGAUGAUUUGAUUGAGUAUCGAGGAGUUAAGGAAUUUAGGCCAAAAUACCAAAUGAAAGUAGAUCGAUUUUUUUUUUUCAUCCCUGAAAAGGUGCAUAUCUUGCCCGGAUCUUUUCCAUAAUGGUGCAGAACAGUAGUAUCAUUGGGGUAGAUAGACAAAUCACCUUAAAACGAAAAGGCUGAGUCGGUGGGUUGGUCCGGGUGGAGAGGGAAAAAAAAUUUAAAUUGAAUGUAAAAUCUUUUCUAGAGAUAUCCAUUUUUCUGAAAAGAUGGAUAAGAUAUCCCGACAUAACGACGUUUUGAUAUCACCAGGAAAAAGAAAUUUCAGGGAAUCCAAAAAGGUGAAAAAUUGGAUCUAUGUCCAAUGGAUUACACCUCGCAAGAAAGAGUUUUUUGUUUUAGUUAGACUUGUCGUCAUAUAUGUAAUAACGGAUGGUAUAAAUUUAGCAACUCUUUUUUCACUGCUUCCAUUGCAGGAAAGGGGUAAUGUGCAACUUCCAAUAGUCAAUUAUAUCCUUUAUUGAAAUGGCAAACCGAUUUGAGAAAUUUCUGACACAUAUAUUUAAUUAGUUCGGACUUAUUUAGUAUUGAAUUGGAACCAAGACAAAAAAAGUUCUUCUUGCAAAGAAGCAUGUGCUUUUUUUGUUGAAAUAAGAACAAAUGUUUUGAUUUGAUAUUUUCUAAGAAUUAACUUAGUGAAAUCCCAUAUUUCAUAUAUUGAGAAAAUGAGUGAUCCGUCAGGGUCAGGAUUUUUCUCCGAUAAUGAUCAGAUUGUACCAAUAUCAGCCCUUUUUCUUCCAUUUAUUCCUAAUCCAAGGGAAAAAUUCAACAAUCUCUUAACCAACCUCAAGGAACUAUUCAUACACUAUUAAGUAGAAAUAUGGAAUGUCAGUCGUUGAUAAUUUUGUCAGCAACCAAUUCUUCUCGAAUGGGGCCGUUCAAGGAUGUAAAAUAUCACAGUGUAAUUAAAGAAUCAAUUAAAAAAGAUCCUCUAAUUCCAAUUAGGAAUUCAUUGGGCCCUUUAGGAACAUCCCUUCCAAUUGAUAAUUCUAAUUCAUCUUACCAUUUAAUAACUCAUAAUGAGAUAUUAUAACUAACCAUUUGCAAUGACAAUUUAAAAUAGACUUUUCAAGUGAUUAAAUUUAAAUAUUAUUUAAUGGAUGAAUAUAUAAUUUUUUUAAUCCGGUCCAUGUUGUAACACUAUUUUUGAUCCAUUCAAUUUGAAUUGGUAUUUUUUCCAUCACAAUUAUUGUGAAGAGAUAUCUCUAAUAAUUAGUCUUCGACAGUUUAUUUGCGCAAAUGUAUGUACAGCCAAAAAUGGACCGCCCCUCAAACCGAGUCAAGUUAUACUUGUUCAAGUUGACUCGAUAGUAAUAUGAUCAGCUAAGCCUGCCAUUAUGGGGAAUUCUUUGGAAGGAGAUACAUUAGUUACAUUUAUAUGUGAAAAAUCGAGAUUUGGUGAUAUAACAUAGCGUCUUCCAAAAGUAGAACAUGUGUUAGAAGUGUGUUCGAUUGAUUCAAUAUCCAUGAAUCUAGAAAAGAAGAUUGAGGAUUGGAAGAAAUGUAUAACAAGAAUUCUUGGAAUUCCUUGGGGUCAAAUCUGCUUGGUUAAUAAAAUCCAACAGGUUUAUUGCUCUCAGAGGGUGCAGAUUCAUAAUAGGAAUAUAGAAGUUAUUGUUGUCAAAUAACAUUAAAAGUGUUGGUUUGAGAAGAUGGAAUGAUAUUAAAAAAGCUGUUCUCAAUUAUGCAAAGAUUGUACCAUUAUCAAAUGACAUAAUUCAUGCAUAAACCUAAGAUCAGCAUCCUUUCUCCAUAGAAAAUGCAAAGUUACUUUGCCUACUAGAGAUAACUGAUUUAAAAUGCCAGCAAUCAAUGCAUCUUAACCGUUCCAGCACUCUUGCGCCAUGACCAAGAAUCAGAUGGUGAUUUUGGCAAAGGUGGAAGUAACAAGGCUUUUCGGUAUAGGCCAAAUGGCCAUCCUUCACAGUGAGAGAAGUCCUGAAUAACGGAAUGCCUCCAGAGAUCUUGGAAGUCAAUCCUGUCUAAGCUUGAAGAAGGAGAAAAGAUUGUUUUAGCUGUGACAAAUGCCUCAAAACUUGUAGAACUUGAGCAGGGAGAAAGACGACUAGCAACAGAGUAAAAAUCUUCGCUUUCUUCCUUUUCUUGAUCCUCAUUGUCCUCCUUUUGCCUUAGUCUUGCAGAGAUGAAUAAAUCUCCUGUUGUUGGAGAGAAAGCCCAGGUGAACUUUUCAGUUGAGAUGUUUGUCUUUCUUCUGCAUUUCAACUCCAUGUAUUUACUUAUCACUGCUGAUAUAAAUACCUGCUGAUAAAACCGCGAAACAGCAUUCAGAAAAUAUGAGUAAAUCAGAAGUUAAUAGCAUUGAACUUAGAAGAAUUACAUGGCUGCUUUAAAUAAGUACUUCAUCUUCAUUAUCAUAGUCGCAAAUCGGAUCAUCUUCUUCUGCACUUGAAUGUGAACUUUUACUAAAGGAAUGGCAGUUGGAAAAUGCAUCCUUAAGGGUUGAGCCAAGGAAUUUGAAUCUCUUGGAAGUAUUUGAAGAGUAUUGAUUAAAAGAGAAUACCAUGCUUUUAGAAGAGCUGCUGAAAUUUCUUGAUAAGAGUUGGUGAAGACUUCAGCAGAGGAACCGGAAAGGUAUUUCUGAAGCGAAAGCAAUGGACAUUUUAUUUCUUAUUGCAUACAGCUAUACAAGUAACUUGGUGUUUCCUUGUCAUGGGCAAGAUGCUAAAUUUGUGGUGAAUUGCUUUCACUUCAGCCUGAAGUUGAGGGUGAAAAAGGACAUGGUACCAAACAAUGACCACUUGCAGAUCCACUCGUAUUUCUUGACUGAAAUACAGUAGUGUAAGAAAAUUUUCGUCUUAUCAUUGAACCAGAUAUGUCUACACAAAAGGGUUUAUGCAACUUUGCAAAAAUGUUUGUCUGGUUAAAAGACUAUUUGACAUGGAUAUUAAACUCAA